UCUUCAAAGAGGCAGGCACAGAGAAACUCUAGAAGCCAACCUCACGAUAACUGAAACAUGGGCUUUAUGGCCGGUAAAAGACAUCUAAAUAAGUACUUAUGAUCGUAAUAAAUGCUGCCGAAGAGACAGAGUGUUCAGAGGACUUACACUAGAGACACUGCUCGAGAAGAAGAGAUGAGGAUGGUUCUGGAGGAGUGACAUCUGAACUCCUUUUAGUGGAUCUCCUUCCCUGCAGACACCCCGAUGGCUCCAGCGUGGAUCUCUGCGAUCCACAGAGAACAUUUCCAGUUCCAAGAAGGAAAUAUUGAAGCCUCACUAUCCCAGACAGUGAGUGGGAUGGACAGGAAAGAGUUGGAUACAAGAUGGUGGGAGAGAGUGUGUCUGAGGAAGCUGGGGCAGGGGAUGGAGGAAGCGAAGGAGGAAGUGCUUGGCGUUUGUGGCCAAAGAGCCCGGGGAGGGAGGACGUUCCAGGCAGAUGGUAGCAGCACACUCAAAGACAGGAGGACACAAGACACCAGUGGUGGUGUGAGGGAACCUAUAGGCGGCUUGGGAUUGUUGAAACAUGAAUGUCAAGG
Long non-coding RNA from Fukomys damarensis (Damara mole-rat), 575 nucleotides. RefSeq lists it as uncharacterized. The transcript is spliced from 3 exons. Lineage: Eukaryota; Metazoa; Chordata; Mammalia; Rodentia; Bathyergidae. The record is from RefSeq and is a predicted model, not a curated record.